This 9132-nucleotide unclassified non-coding RNA is filed under the name Mizuhopecten yessoensis (Yesso scallop). RNAcentral describes it as "cTD nuclear envelope phosphatase 1-like, transcript variant X1". Lineage: Eukaryota; Metazoa; Mollusca; Bivalvia; Pectinida; Pectinidae. The record is from RNAcentral.
GAGAAUUGUGGGAAUUCAAUGGCGCCUUGCAGAUAAAAGGCAAGUUGACAGUUACCUGCAACUUGUUGUUUAUUUACAUAAUUAAAGACUCUAGAGGACAAAAUAAGUGAACUACAAGGUCUUUAUAAAAUCAUCUACACUCAUGAUCAAGUACUUUGUUAUGGGAUUACGCGGUUUCUUUUUGCUGGCUGCUAAAAUCUGGAGUUUCGUUUGCUAUUGCUUCAAAAGACAGGCCAGGACGGUUAUACAACAUCAAACAGUUAGAUAUGAAGUUAUACCUCUAUCACCACUAUCCAAGCAUAGGCUUAGUAUGCUUAAGAGGAAGACAUUAGUACUUGAUCUAGAUGAAACACUGAUACAUUCUCAUCAUGAUGGCGUGUUAAAGCCGACAGUUAAACCUGGAACCCCACCCGAUUUUGUCCUUAAAGUUAAUAUUGACCGACAUCCUGUACGAUUUUUUGUACACAAGAGACCACAUGUGGAUUAUUUCUUAGAAAUUGUAAGUCAAUGGUAUGACCUAGUGGUGUUUACAGCCAGUAUGGAAAUCUACGGAGCAGCUGUGGCGGAUAAACUGGACAAUAAUAAAGGCAUACUGCGGCGCAGGUAUUAUAGGCAGCACUGUCAUUUAGCAGAAGGCAGCUACACCAAGGAUUUAUGUGAUAUCUGCAGUGACCUUUCCAGUAUAUUUAUACUUGACAAUUCACCAGUGGCAUAUAGAAAUUAUCAAGAUAACGCUAUCCCUAUACGGUCAUGGUUCAGUGACCCUACAGACACCGCUCUUCUCUGUUUGCUACCAAUGCUGGAUGCGUUGAGGUUUUGUAACGAUGUGCGAUCAGUGCUUAGUAGAAACUUGCAUCUACAUCGGACAUAGCCCAGCUGGAAUGCAAUCAUCUUUGUGGACAUCUUGUCAUCUUCACUGUAAUAUAGAGCCUUGUAUGAUCAUACUUAUACCAUACACACACGCACGUACACCCUACAUAUCAGCCCCCUAUAUACAUAGUCUAUCCCCUAAACACCUCACCUCCUUACAUAUCAAAUCUAUUGACAAUGUAUACACCUAUAUCCCUCCCCAAAACUAAAUUCUCCUUCUCCUUCCCCUUACAACAUCAUCCUAUACCUAAUACCUACCAUUCUAUCUCUUGUGACUUUUUCUUAAUUACAUACACCAGAUAUCCUUCCUGUCCAUCAUUCAACAUUUUACCGCAGACUUGGUUGAGAUUGGCGUUUCGGAAAGCAUGUAUGACUUCACAACACAUGUGGUUUAUAUGUGUUUUGCUGCAGGGCAUUGCUGGAAAAACCAUGGUUAUAAUUAUUUUCAAAACACAAUUUGAUUUUCAAAUAUGACACAUGACUAGCUAGAUGCUAUUCUACAAUUCGGCUGAUCUACAAUAUAGCCAACAGAACAGAUGUGUCUGAAAAACUUGUCCUUAAAGCUAGCUGUACCGUAUGCAUGUGUCAAAGGUUGUGUUAUCAGGGAAUUUUCAUACAUAUAAAUUUUCAACCUGUUUGAAGCUUUCAAUGAUCUCCUAGUGUAGUGUCAAUGGCUUUUAGAUAUAUAUCACGGAUUUAGUUCACGUAGAUAUUUAAAAGAAUUUGUGGCAUAAAUUUUCCUAAGUAGGAGUAGAAACAUUGGUAUGUGUAGGUUUGUCAUACUCCUUGACUGAUAAUUUGCAUACGUAGCUGAGAUUACAGGGUACGGUGUAUACCCCUUGUCACAGUCACAGCACUGUGUCGGGUGUACUUCAGGGUUACAACAUUAUAGACGUCCUUUUCUCUAUCUUCAAAAUCCAAGAAGCUGCUCUGGAAAUACACAUUUUCUAAAACCCUUGGGAUAUGUCACAACAAAAUCGAAGGCUCUUCAUAUGACACCUUGUUGAUGAGACAAUAGACUUAGUCUGAUUUCUUUGGGGUACAUGAUAGAAAUUUUACGGCUGUGUAGCGGGGAAAUUGACAGGUAUUGAAGGUAGGUGUGCCUCUUCUGUAAUCCUCAGAAAACAGGUAUCGGCUAGUAAUUGGUCAGGUUUGUAUACCUGAAUCGAUAAAAAAGCUGCGUCCUGGGGUGCAGAGGGAAGAUAUGUGUAUGAAAAGUAGAACUAUUUGAUUUCUAAGAUGCCUUUUCUAGUUUUGACUAGUACUCCCUGUUUGUGCCCGUUGACAUCUUAAGAAUAAUCUCUUUGCUGUACAACAUUCAUGAAUGAUUGUAAGGAUUACAUUCUAUCUACAACAUAAUCAUUUCUGCAAGUUUGCUUAGAAUUCGACUAUCUUAUCUUUUUUUCAGUAUAUAAAGCAUCAAGAUUUAUUUGCUAACAGAAUUGGUCACAUAAUAAUUGAGGAAAAAAAUCAGACACCAAUGAAAAUUAUUGAUAUUAAUUUCUAAAACAACUACUCUGUCAUAUGUUCUACCUCAUCAAAACACCUCAAAUUAUCUCCCUUUGUUGUACCUACACUUGUGUGGUUCACAGAUCCAGAGGAAAGUCCAGCAUUUAUUUCAAAGGCAAGGUAUUAAUGUCCACUGUUAAUAUCAAAGUUGUUGUAGCUUACUUUUGAACACUUUCAGCAUUUUGUGCAUGUGGGCUUAAUGAACUAAGUACAAUGUGUGAUGGUCAAAAAUGGCAGUGAAUUAUGACCGUUAUGAAUAAUGAAUUCACUCAUUCACCCCUGAAGAUGCAUUUGAACUCUUCCAAUUCAAAGGUUGGAAUAGUUCAUUAUUAAACUUCAGGGGUGAAUGAUUUAAGUGUUGGUGUUUAUUCUGUAUCUUAUACUUCCUUUUGCCUGUGAUUAUGAUGAGUUGAAUGUAAGUAGUGAAUUUGAUGUUUCUAAAAUUGCAAAUUGAAUGGUUUUGAACAAUUGUGUGCAAAUGCAUUUUUUUUGGUCAAGUAUAAUCUCCUUAAAAGAAUUCACCUGUAAAAUAUCUUUAUGGUUUAUAAAUGUUUGGAAUUAGUAGAUUGUAUAUUUUUUUUUAAACAUACACAGGAAUGCAUACAUUGAUAAAUCUGUGAUAUUUCUGAAGUGACAAGGUUUUAGGUGAGGAUACCGAUAACUACACCGGUCACAUCUAACAUUUAAAGUAGACAAUUUCUCACACCUUAGCCAGGGAUAUCCCAUGUUUUACGCCAUGCUAGAUGUUAUGAUAUCAUCCGAUCUGUGAAACACCUUUACGUGUUUAUGUAUGGCACCAAAUAUCAAAUGUCAAUGUAAUCAUUCUCGCACUUAAACAGAUUAAUAACCUAUAUUUGAAAUAUUCUGUAAUGGCGUUCAGUAUAUUGCCUUUGGUGUUAUUUAAUUCGCAAUAUAACAUACAUACGAUAAUCUACAUCAUGAAACAAGUGCAGAUGCCAUUUUAAAUUGAGGCCCCAGAUGGGAUAAUUGUAAACCACGUUAAAAUUAAAAUGGACUAAUAAGGAGGUACGAGAAAAAAAUCAAUUGCCUGUAACUGAGAGAGAUUAAGGCUCAGAUUCUGUAACAUCCCAACCUAGGCUUGCCUGUAGAUUAGGACUUUGUAAUUUAAACUUAACCCUUGACUGAAAUAACCUAAUCUCACUCAGUUACAGGGUAUAGGUCCUACUGUUCUGUUUGAGGGGUUUAGUACUGUUAACGUCAAGGCUGUAGGGGGAUUGUCUCUGCAGAGUUUUUGCAACUAUACCAGGGAUGUAAUUAGGGAUUCGAAAAAAGGUGGAGUUCUGAUGAAAAGGUAGCAACCUACCUAACCUCCAUAGAAAAUCAGUAUUAUUUAAUAUUUCAAAUCAAAUCAAAGUCUUUUAAAUAAAAGAAAAAAUUGAGGAAACAAAAUCUUUGAUAAAUAAUUGCAUCCCUGAUAUACCUGCUAUUUUAUGUCAAACAAGUGUUAAGAUAUAUAGUUUAUAGAUUAAGUGUAAUAGGCUUGACUAUUGAAUACAGAAUGACAAAGUCAUCUGUUAGAUAGGUGUGCAUUAUUGGUGCGAAAUUUGUGUAAUACAGGGGAAAGUGCUAUGGGAAUUACUGUAAUAAGGAAUGUUAUCACACAGAAAAACCGGCAACUUAUUUAAACAUAAAAUUUAAGAUCAAAAUUAAUUUCUGUUAAAAUUCACAUUUCAGAUAAAGAUUUUUUUCACUUAUAUUAAUUUCUAAAAAAAAUACGUAAAAAUAUGUGUGCAAUAUUAAAUUUGUUUGUCUCAGUAACUACAAGGGGAGUAAAUUAAAUUAAUAACAAGAAUGGUACAAACAAAUUCAAUCAAUCUGUAGCAUAAACCAGACUUGAAUAACAAGAAUAUACACUAAACUGAUUCAUCAACUCCUUUAUAUUUGAAAUAUAUAUAUAUAACCUUGACCUUGAUUCAAGGUCAUCGUUCCAACAAGCAAGUGAAGGCUGUGUGGUGUACAAGAUGAUGAAUAUACAAGUUUCCAUUUUUUUGUAUAGAUGGGUAAAUUGUUAUGUAUAUACUGUGUGCUCCAGACUCCAAUGGAGUGCUUUAUUAGCAUUGAAAUAUAUAACAACUUUGUUGAUUUUGUUGAUUGAGUGUGAAAUGUAAAAAGCAUUAUUCAAUAUUUUACGGUUAUUUUGCUAUUAUUUUUUUCAGUGAUAUGAGUUGGGACUGCUUUCUGUCUGAAUAUAUCCAUUGGUCGAAACUGAGGUGUAUACCGCAUAGAGACACAAUUGUUCGUCAGAUAUCAGAAUUCUAUAUAUUUUCGUGUUACUGUUUAUUUUGCAGGGUGCCUGUUUGUUUUGUUAGGUUUUACAAGUGUUCGUAGGUUUCUGAAAACAUUGCUCCAUCCAGCAACACACCUUUGAUAGUCGAUGUUUGGUUAAGGACUUGCGGAAUUUCUUAUCCAUAUUGUGAUAUACAAAAUCUCUCGGUUGAAAAGUGAUCAUGUAUUAAUAGACAAUAAAGGAUAUACAAUUCUUAUGCUUGUUACCUGAGAGAGUAACAAGAAGAUUCUGAAUGUUAGAUUUUAGGACUUCCACUAUUCUGCAAAAAAAUAUUAACCAUCAGGAAAGAAUUUUGAAGUUAAGCACUCUGCAAUUCGCAAACCUUGUGCUAAACUUCACAAAUCUUCCCUCUGGUUGACAUUUCACUGUAAACAUCACCCAUGAGUGAUAAAGUAUUGAAAAAUCUCAACCCUCGGGAAAGAAUUUUGAAGUUAAGCACUCUGCAAUUCGCAAACCUUGUGCUAAACUUCACAAACCUUCCCUCUGGUUGACAUUUCACUAUAAACAUCACCCAGGAGUGAUAAAGUGUUAUUCUCUGGGAUAAAAGGAUAUUAAUUUAUAAAGUUCUGUAACAAGAAUGAGCAUGAUAUGAUUUUCAAAAAUAGACCUAAGUUGAGGUGAAUAUGUGGUUAUGUGUACCUGAGAAAGCGAUAAUGCUGUUUCCGAAAAAGUAACAGAGUCAAUAUUACAAAUCAGCAACCUGCACAUGAUUAUGAUCAACCAAUGAGGUUGUAGGGAAAAUGUGUGACAUCUAAUAAUCACUUUUAUGUCUCUAACUUUAAUUUGUUAAUGGGGAGGUCACACAGGAAUGGUGUAUUUCUGGAUGGAGCCAAUUACAUUUUAAACGGAGUGUUUAUCUUCCUUUCAGUAUAAUCACUGUCAUUGUAUUUUGAAUCUUUGGUUUUGAUAUGUUGUGUAACAUCAGAUUAAAAGGUUUAUGUCACAAUAAUCAUAAUUCAUAUUACAUCCAGUCCAAGCUGGUCUGGAAUAAGGGGGAUUGAUAGUAUAACGGUACACAGAUGGUACUUACUAGCACAACAAUUUUUAUUUUAUAAAAUUCUCUUUCAUAGUAUUAUCUUACUAGGUAUUGCUUGACUUUAUUUCCAUGUGAAAGUUAGAAAGCUUGCAUUUUGAGGAUACUUUAAAUACUAAAAGUUGUAGUUGUAUAUGUUUACAUGGUAGAUGUCAAAGGAUAAUGUAUGCAAAGCAUGAAAAAGGAGUUGUUUCUGUUCCCUGGUCAACUGGGGGUUCAUAUUAGAGAACUUAAGGUUUCUAUGUUGACCAUUGGGGUCUUAUGAUGAACUACAACACUUAUAAACUAUAGGCUCUAGAGAUGAACAUUGGCUCAUAGUGAACUUUAGGCUGUUACUGUGACAACUUUAAUAACAACACAACUACAGCUGUCAGGCAACUAAUUAGGCUAAAUGAGUUUCAAGGUCAUUAAAAUUGUUACCUCAUUAACCCUCAUUAAUCCUAAUAGUUGCUUUUUUUUUUAAAAUUACUUGAGUGUCUGGCCUGUGUUUCUGUGUUUAACCAGACAAUCUGUUCCACUGAUGAGUGAUCUAAUCCUCUGUCCCUCUAUAUGUGAUUCACUUGUCUGUUAUUCAAUGAAUACCUAGGUUGAAAUUCAAAAAUAAAUCAAACCUUUUCUUGAUCUCUUGAUUAUCUAGUCAAAUUCCAAUUAUUACGACUAUAUAAAAAAUGAUAUUAACAGCAUAUAUUGGACUGUAGUUCUUUGUAUUGAUAUAUAACAUUUCUGUGGUUAUGUAGAUAUAUUAAUAUAAAAUUCUGUGGGGAGGGAGGACUAUUGUACAAGGUAUAUUGGUCAUACUUAACAUAUGUACCGAUCAAAUAUCUAGGUCUGAGACCAUCUCUUUUCAUGAAGAAAAUUACUUGAGCUUGGAGCUAUAAGAUUUAUACACAAAGUGACAAUGAAUUGUUAAGACUGUAAAAUACAAAUUACUCCCACAUUGAAAGCACUAUCAAACGAGGCAGCUUUAGAUAGCAGUGAAUUUUCAGAGGGGGUGACUGUUCCCAUGUAUAUUGAAUUAUUUACCUUUGUCUCAAUUGAAGUAUUAUAGAAAAAUUAAGUUGUCAAAAAAUAUUAUUGCCAUAAUUUUGUCAAGUAUCUGAAAAAGCAACGAUUACUUAUCAAGAAUUUAUUUUAGUCGGACAGUAUUUACUGUAACUGUUUUGAUACAUUUAGAGACGAACCCUAGUAUCAAGGUCAAAUUGGGAAAUAAACUUAAUACCCUUUUUAGAACUGUUUAGGCUUAUCUGUGGUAAAAUAGGUGUAUAUGUAUACCCUUUGCUGAUUAUGUAAGCAUAUAAAUAUAGUGAGUACAAUUGUAAUAAUUUUCUUUCCAUCCUAUAACCUACCUGUUGUUGUUGUGGCUUACCUGUCCAUACAUACUCGUUUUUGUACGUGUUCGGUGCUGUACAAUUGUGUCCUAGCCCUACCUUACUAUAACCCAUUGUUGUAUGUGUGCAGUAUUGUAUAUGUGACUCAGUAUAUAUACUAAUUAUCUCAUACCCAGAUGUGUAGUGUUACUAUUUGAUAGUCAGGGGAGGAGAUAGCAACAUGUUUAGGAUUCAACAUAUUGUUUUAAACCUCUCAGUCACUCCUCUGAAUAUUCUUUAAAUUAGCUUGAUGUAAAGCUUCAUAUAUUUACAAAGAAACACUUGCAAUGAUACCUAUGAGAAGAAGCAUAAAUUCUCUUUUUAAAAGAGAAAUCUGCAGCUACUUUUUUUUGUUGCAGUUCUUUUAGUUCAAAAUCCCUUCGACAGUUUUCCUGAUUAAGAAAUAUCUUACUGUAUAAAAUGAAAUGUUUGAAAGUAUUUUCUUUCAUGGUUUGAAGCUAUUUAGGUAGUUUCACAGUAAAAACUUUCAUGGAUACCACAUAUAAAUAUUCAGUAAACCACAUCAAUCAAAUUCGCUGUAUUCAUUUUUGUGGUUCAUAGCAUCCAUGAAAACCAAGGUUUAUACACAACAAACAUUUCAUGUUAUACAGUACCUUACGACUUUUGUACUGUACCGGUGUAGUAAUGUUAGUGUUCUGAACCAUUAGUAAACUCCUGUUAACACAGCAGACUUUGAGCUGUAUGGUAAUUAUAUUGUAUUCCCAGGUACAGUGUUUAUGUACGGUAUGUUCCCAGUAGACGGCACAUUAUUGAUAGUGACUACACCCAACUUUAGGUAGUAAUGUAGUAGUAUUGGUGACAAUACUCUACUGUUAUAUUGUGGACUCCUGUUUCCAUUAGCUUUCGGUCUGCAUAAGAUCAGGAAUUUGUUUCCUAUCUGGAUUCUAUAUUUUGAAAGUCUGGUCUUCAACAUUUUGUACAUAUAAUUCUGUAAUUAAGAUUUCCUCGAUUCAAAUAAUGUAAACAUUUCUCUAUAAGGUAUUUCUAUAAAUCGGGAGUCCUUGUAUUAGCUGUAGUAAGUGUAUUACAUGUAGACAGGAAGACGGUGGCUAUGCCAUUUAGAGCAUAUAUUCCAUUUCAUGUCAGAUUUUUAUAUCGCCAUCAAAUAUCAUUGUAGCUUAGAUUAUAAUUUUUGUUGUCAUUGCCUGUAAUGAUUAAUGUCAUAAAUGCUAUUGUAUCAGUCACCAUCAAAAGCUUCACUCCCUUCUCGUUAUGAACUUGACUCAGUUAGGAGAGUCUAAAGCAUAACAUAAGGGUGAGAAGGAACAUUAUCAUGUUUAUGAUACUAACUUUCACACCCCUGUGAAGAUAUUGAGCUGGUCCGUAAAAUUGGGGGGUGAAGUUUUAUUUUUAUUUUCUUGACACAUCACCAAUCAAGUUACAAAGGCUGGUCCAGAUUAUUAUAAAACAUAUUUUCACUCAUCAAAAUUCUCACACUCUUUAAAAUAAACUACCUUGCCCCCACACCAAUUGUUGAACUCACCUACGUAUUCAUUACUGCUUACUGUAAACUUAUUCAAAGGCAAAAAGGGUAAAAAUAGAACGGAGGUGAAAACAUUCAACUUCACAGCUUCAUGGUUACAGAAUAUCAUACUUGCCUCUAUAGACAUUUUACCCACUGUAUAUUGUACAUAUUUUCUAAAAUAAGAGAUGGGAUGUAAAAUAUAUCGGAAAAUUUUCCAGUUUUCGUUUUUACACGAUGCAAUUUUGCGUUGUAUAUAUAAAAUAUAUUGGAACCUUCUCAUGAUGGGUCAAAAGAAAAUGUGCCUUUUAGGGAUAGAGAUACAUUGUAAUGUGACCUUUAGGGAUAGAGAUACAUUGUAAUGUGACCUUUAGGGAUAGAGAUACAUUGUAAUGUGACCUUUAUGUUAAGGCUGGACCAGAUCAGUCAGAGACAUGGGGGUGAGAAAGUUACCAUCAAUUGUUACCUGGACAACCGUGGUGAAACGGCAGUCAGCAUCACUGUUUGUUAUUAGACUAUAUGAAUAAAUCUUAUCUGCUCAGGAAACGGGCAGAGAAAUCAG